AUGGGGAGCCCUCUCAGCCCAGUAGUAGCAAAUUUCUAUAUGGAAUACUUUGAAAAACAGGCCCUAGAAACAGCACCAAAAAAGCCAACUGUUUGGUUCAGAUACGUAGAUGACACCUUCACAAUUUGGAGCCAUGGAGAGGAAGAACUCAGCAAGUUCCUGGACCAUCUUAACAGCAUCCACCCAAACAUCCAAUUCACCAUGGAAAAAGAAAAGGAAGGAAAACUGCCAUUUCUAGAUGUUCUGGUCAUCCGCAAACCCAAUCAACAAUUGGGCCACACAGUUUACAGAAAACCUACACACACAGAUAGAUACCUUCAUAAAAACUCCAACCAUCACCCAAGUCAAAAAAGGAGCACAAUCAAAGCCCUGACAGACCGUGCACAAAGAAUCUGCGAACCUCACCUCCUCCAAGGUGAACUCAACCACCUAAACUGGGCUCUACAAGCCAAUGGAUACUCCACCACAGACAUCAGAAGAGCUGCAAGGCCAAGAACAAGCCAUGAGAGUCAAGACAAAGAUCCACCCAGAGGAAAGGUGUCCUUACCAUACAUCAAGGGGACUACUGACCGCAUAGGGAAGCUGAUGAAGAAGCACAACCUACAAACUAUCUACAGACCCACGAAGAAAAUCCAACAAAUGCUACGGUCAGCGAAGGACAAGAGGGAUCCUCUCUCUUCUGCAGGAGUCUACCGGAUACCAUGCAGCUGUGGACAAGUCUACAUAGGGACCACCAAACGCAGCGCCCAAACAAGAGUCAAAGAACAUGAAAGGCACUGCAGACUAAUUCAACCAGAGAAAUCAGCCAUAGCAGAGCAUUUGAUGAACCAGCCUGGACACAGAAUACUAUUUGAGAACACAAAAAUGCUGGACCAUUCUAACAACUAUCAUGUCAGACUACACAGAGAAGCCAUUGAAAUCCACAAGCAUGUGGACAACUUCAACAGAAAGGAAGAAACCAUGAAAAUGAACAAAAUCUGGCUACCAGUAUUACAAAACUCAAAAAUCAGAACAGUAAAUAAAAAGCAAUACUCUGAAAACAGAGGGUUUCCAGACAUGAAUCAACCAAGGGCAGUUAACGACUCUAAACAAAGGAUGCCCCAGAGGCAGGAAGAAGACAGCAGAUAA
Molecule: long non-coding RNA, 1128 nt
Filed under: Anolis carolinensis (green anole)
Lineage: Eukaryota; Metazoa; Chordata; Lepidosauria; Squamata; Anolidae
Description: lncRNA (ENSACAG00000045512.1)
Source: RNAcentral